GUAUAAAAUAAGUUCAACACUGGCAACCAUCUGAUAACCACAGAGAAAUGAGACUGAGGAUAAAACUAAUCUAAAGAGGAUACCAACGAAGCUGUAACCCUCCAGUUACAUAAACCAGUGUCCUGAGGGAGAAGCUGGUGCCCUUUAUCACACAGCUAACAACGCUCCUGGCCCAUGGAUCAGAGAAGUUGAAGGAAAAUACAGAGGAAGUUCUAACAGUGGCAGACCUAAUUACUGCACCAUGCCAAGCAGGCGCUGGGAACAGCCUUUGGCUGACAGCCAGCAAGGAAAUGGGGACUUCAGUGCUACAACUUCAAGGAACUAAAUUUUGCCAACAAAUGUGAAUAAGCUUCCAAGUGGAUUCUUCCCCAGAGCCUCCAAAUAAGAGCCCAGCCUGGCUUUCAUCUUGAUUUCAUCUCUUUGAGACUCCAAGCAGAGAAGCUGGUCAGGCCCCCACCACUUCCUCCACCCAUCAGACCUCUGACCUACAGAACUAUCAGGUAAAAUAUUUUCCCAGGGGUUCAAGCUGAGUUUUGACCCAAGUUAUUGUCCUAGAAUCUGUGGGGGAAGUACAAGUAAACCUUAAAGAAGACAAAUAACACCUUAUGAGGUGUUUGCCUUAGGUGAGUCUUAUUUAUAUUUUCCAGGCAACAAGAAUAUGACAUCCUGUAACAAUGGCGAGUGAAUGAUUUCCACAUGCUUAGAGGUUUGGGAGAAUCUGGAAGUUCACGGUUCCCAAGCACAUCUAUCUCAAAUAUCCCCAUCUCAGGUCUCAGGCAUACUCCUUUCCUAUCAAGGCAUAA
Molecule: long non-coding RNA, 803 nt
Organism: Homo sapiens (human)
Lineage: Eukaryota; Metazoa; Chordata; Mammalia; Primates; Hominidae
Source: Ensembl